This 1549-nucleotide long non-coding RNA is filed under the name Phoenix dactylifera (date palm). RNAcentral's name for it is "long non-coding RNA (PDAC_LNC006184)". The record is from RNAcentral. Lineage: Eukaryota; Viridiplantae; Streptophyta; Magnoliopsida; Arecales; Arecaceae.
UGAUUUAGUAGUACAAUAACUUUUGAAUCAUAUUGUCUAGAAAUUUUAUGACUUGUUAAGAAGGUCAGUAGAAAGAACUAAAUUUUGAAGAACAUUAAAAGCUCUGAACUUAAGGGUAUGGCGCAUGAACAUCUAUCUCUAGUAGAAGUUACGCAAGAUAACACAUCCGAGGUAAUUGUAGAAAUAGCAUCUUACAAGGUAAUGUAGAACAAAGUUAGACCUUUUGUCUUUUGGGAAGAGAAUCAGAAAAAGAAAUGAUUAGUAGUUGCAAUUAUACAUCGAUAGUGGAAUAAAUUUGGCAAAUCCAGGUAUUGUGAUGUGAUCAAUCUUAGGAAUUACAAGAUUAAAGCAGAUAUAUUACGUCCUAAUUAUUUUCAGUCUUCAGUACAUAAAUUUCAAGGACGAACUUUAAUUAGGAGAGGAUUAUGUGAGGCCCAGGCCCAGGAUUAUGCGAUGUUUUUAGCUUAAUAGUUUAGUGGCUCUGAUAAUCACCACUGCCUGCAUACAAACUAUGUGAUUGCCAGGUUAUAUUGAUACAUUGAUAGGUAAAAUGCGUUGCAUGCUUAUAAAGUCAACUUCCUGUGAGUGUGUGGCGGCUGCCACACCCUCGUAUUGUGAAUCUAGGGUCAGGGCAUGACAGUAUCAAAGUUUAUUUCAUACUACUAAGGUUUCAUUCCUUCAAGCAUAAAAUAUGCAGUAUCAAGCUCUGUUGUUAGGAUCAAGCGCUGACCACUACACCAAAAGCGACCACUGAUAGUGAAGGCGCUACUUUAUUUCCUUAAACCGCACCAGAUCAACACCUCAAGUCGACUCUGACCCGGCCUCGCCCACCCCGAACUCCGAUCAGGCCUCGCCCGUGGGCUUAGUGACCGCAGUAUGUCCCAUCCUACUAACCGGCGCAUCCACGCUGGCAGGCGACAGGACUGACUCGACCAACUCGGCCUCCGCCAACGUUGACCUCGGCCUCCGCCNNNNNNNNNNNNNNNNNNNNNNNNNNNCCUCCGCCAACAAUCCCCCCUAGCGCGAUGCCCGAGUUUCGAACUCGAGACCUCUAGCUCUGAUGCCAGUUGUUAGGAUCAAGCGCCGACCAUUACACUAAAAGCAACCGCUUAUAGUGAAGGCGCUACUUUAUUUUCUUAAACCGCACCAGAUUAGCGUCUCAAGUCGACUCCGACCUGGCCUCGCCCACCCCGGACUCCGAUCAGGCCUCGCCAAUGGGCUUAGUGACCGCAAUAUGUCCCACCCUACUAACCGGCGCAUCCACGCUGGCAGGCGGCAGGACUGACUCAACCAACUCGGCCUCCGCCAACAAGCUCAUUAAAAUCUAAUCUAACAUACCAUUUAAAUUCAAAUCUAUUUACAAUGUAGAAUAAACUUAUUGCUAGCAUGUGUUGGGCAAUAUUGUUACUGCUCACAUUUCAAAGCAAGUACCGUUGGAGCAAUCAUAGAAGAUGGAUCACCCUAAGCACCUUUGAUACAUACACAAUUUAACAUGACUCAUGAGUAUCAGCAUAACCUAUAUUAGCAUGAAAAAGAAUCUGAAACAAAC